RNAcentral lists this ribosomal RNA (274 nucleotides) under uncultured bacterium. RNAcentral describes it as "partial 16S ribosomal RNA". It matches the Rfam family "Bacterial small subunit ribosomal RNA", at positions 523 to 796 of the family's 1533-position model. The record is from RNAcentral.
AUACGGAGGGUGCAAGCGUUAAUCGGAAUUACUGGGCGUAAAGCGUACGUAGGCGGUUAUUUAAGUCAGAUGUGAAAGCCCCGGGCUUAACUUGGGAACUGCAUUUGAAACUGGGUAACUAGAGUUUAGUAGAGGGGAGUGGAAUUUCAGGUGUGGCGGUGAAAUGCGUAGAGAUCUGAAGGAACACCAGUGGCGAAGGCGACUCCCUGGACUAAAACUGACGCUGAGGUACGAAAGCGUGGGUAGCAAACAGGAUUAGAAACCCUAGUAGUCC